Manis javanica (Malayan pangolin) is the source of this 4747-nucleotide non-coding RNA. The record is from RefSeq and is a predicted model, not a curated record. NCBI's taxonomy places the organism in Eukaryota, Metazoa, Chordata, Mammalia, Pholidota, Manidae.
GCAUGGGAAAGACAGAUGGGGGGCUAAUGAAAAGGACGCCGAGAGGCGCGGGGCUGUCGGUGGCGGAGGCGUGGUGGGGAGCCGUGACCUCCAGGAGUGAGCGCACCAGACUGCCGGGUGGGGGCGUCCGCCGCGACGUCGGAAGGUAGAAGGCGCCGGGGAGAGGGCCGGGAGGGGGCGUGCAGUUUGGCCCGAGGGUCCGGAGCUGAAACUCAACACCCGCCUUUGGAGAGAGCGUCCUCUUUUCUCCUCCUCCCUUUCCCUUCUCCUCCCUUUUCCCCCUCCCUCCUUUCUCUUAAUCCCCAGGACUGAGCCCGGCGCCGGAGCGGAGAGGGCCCGAGGGGAGGAGAAAGGAACUUCCGUGAGAGGGAACCGGGAGCCGGGAAGGGGAGCCACGAGCGGGGUGAGCCCCAAAGCCACGCGCGACCCCCGGAGCCUUCUUAGCCUCUCAGUGCACCACCACCUCCAGGCGAGUCCACAGGACCCUGGGCCCUGCUCCUCCGCGCCUUCUUUGCUCCUCUUGCUUUGUGGCCUUUCUCUCCGUUCCCAGAGACACCUGGGAGCUGCCCCGAGCUCUGCUAAGGGCGCGUGAGAGCGGGGCGGCGAGGUCGGAGAGCAGCGGGCCAGGGAGGGAUUGGGAGCUAGUAACCCAGCGCGCUGGGGCCGAGUGGAGGGGGCGGGUGGGCCGCUCCGCGGCGUCAGCAAGGCCGUCCCGCCCCUUCGAACCGGGCCCGCGUGCGCGUUGUAAGGCACCGUCCUGGUAACCCCUGCCUCCUGGGCGUGCUGCGAGCCAGUGUGCCUGACUGUGAGUCCGCUUCACCGUCGGGGGUGCUAGUUUCCGGGCAGAAAGCAGCCACUUGGGCAACUCGGCCCAACGUCCACGCUCUCGGUGGCCUUUGCCAACUUGGGCGAGUUUGACGAGAGUCGAACGUCUCAGUUCUCGCUCUCACGCACCACCCUCCCUCGCAGCAGGGCAGCCGCAGUGCCUCAGGCCGCCCCGACCACAGCCCUGGGAGCACCGCUGUGCCGCGCGGCCCCCGGGUGGAGCGGGUUGGUGCCUAAACUCGCCCAUCCAGCUCAACCGCCCCGCCGGCUUCUCCCAGCCCUUGGGGCUGUCCUGAGAGGCCUGGAGUGGCGUCGAGUACAACUCCAGCUUCCACCUCCUCCCCUGCCUCGGCCCUGGAAGGGAGCUUUCGGCCCAUGCGGAGCCGGUGUACCUUCGCGGCCUAGGGUAGGCAGCUCCCGGGCCUGGCCAAGCCGGCGGCCCCCAGGACUGCACAGAGCGCACGCCCUUGGAUGAAGUCCCGCAGCGACGCCUCGGCCCGCCCUGCCCCUCCUCCUGCCCCGCCAAGCUGCCUCCCAUUUGGGGAGUUUUGUGGGUUUUCUUUCUCCUCCUCCAACCUACGCGGAGACCACGACUCAGGCGCCGCAGCUAGGGCCGCCCCCAUGGUGCCGGGCAGCCGCUGCUGAGGUCCACAAAGCCGAGCCUGGCCUGGAUUGGGCAGCGCGGGAGGCCAAGGCCAUGGCCUUAGCCACGUCGGCCCUAGGAUUCCCAGGCAACAUGAGGCUGCCUCCCGCAUUCUGGCCCCCCUUUGAAUGAUUACUCUAGGAAGGAGGAUUGUGAGGCUGGAAAAAGAAGCAUGACUCCUACAUCCUUCCAUACCCCUCGAGGACGAGUUUGAUUUUCACUCCUCAGACCAAACCCCUUCUAGGGCCUCAAUCUGUAUGGCCCAGCUGGCCCGGGCACUCUACGACAACACAGCUGAGUCCCCCCAGGAGCUGUCCUUCCGCCGAGGGGACGUUCUACGGAUACUGCAGAGGGAGGGCACUGGUGGGCUGGAUGGCUGGUGCCUCUGCUCCCUGCAUGGCCAGCAGGGCAUUGUGCCCGCCAACAGAGUGAAGCUCCUUCCUCCUGGCCCAGCACCCAAGCCCAGCCUCUCCCAGAUGCCCCCAGCCCAGCCUGGCUCAUCAUAUCCAGCCCCAGAGCACAGCAGUGAGGAUCAUGAGGUGUAUGUGGUGCCGCCCCGAGCUCAGCCAUGUCCUGCCUUAGGACCAACAGCUGGACCCUGCCCACCCUCCCCAGACGCCAUCUAUAAGGUUCCCAGAGGCAGUGGGACUCAGCUGCCUGCCCCUGGAGACGCCUUGGAGGUCUAUGAUGUGCCCUCCACUGCCCUCCGAGUUCCCUCCAGUGAUCCUUAUGACUCCCCUGCCUCCCUUUCCUGCCCUCUGGGCCGGGUUACCUCACAGCCCGCUGGAGAGGAGGAAGCUCCCUAUGAUGUGCCUCUGGCCCCACGAUCACCAUCAGAACUGGAGCCAGAUUUGGAGUGGGAAGAGGGCCGGGAAGCAGGGCCUCCCCUCUACACUGCUCCGUCCAACUUGAAACGGGCGUCAGCCCUGCUCAAUCUGUAUGAAGCACCUGAGGAGCUGCUACCACAUGAGGAAGGUGGGGGCACUGACGAGGGCAUCUAUGACGUGCCUCUGCUGGGGCCAGAAGCACCCCCCUCUCCAGACCCCCGAGGAGCUUCGGCCUGCAGUGACCUGGACACCUUGGCCUUGCUUCUGGCUAGAAGCCCCCCAGCCCCACACAGGCCCCGGUUGCCCUCAGCUGAGAGCCUAUCCCGACGCCCUCUGCCUGCCCUACCUGUCCCCGAGGGCCCCAGCCUUUCCCCAGCUCCCUCUCCUGCUCCAGGCCGGAAAGGCAGCAUCCAGGAUCGGCCUCUGCCCCCACCCCCGCCCUGUCUGCCUGGCUACAGAGGCCCCAAGGUGGAGGGGGAUACAGAGGGUGGGGAGGUGGAGGAUGAUCCAGCUGGACACCACAAUGAGUAUGAGGGCAUCCCCGUGGCUGAGGAGUAUGACUAUGUCCACCUGAAGGGCAUGGACAGAGCUCAGGGAUCUAGGCCACUGGAUGAGGCCUUCCCAGGGAACCCUGAACAGCCGGAGAAAGGGCCGCAGGAGCAGCAGGAGGCCCUGUCCCCAGGGGAGCUGCCCACUGUGUCUUCUGGAGAUCUGCAGCUCCUGCACUUCUACGCAGGGCAGUGUCAGAACCACUACUCAGCCCUGCAGGCAGCUGUGGCAGCCCUGCUGUCCAGCACCCAGGCCAACCAGCCCCCACACCUCUUUGUGCCCCACAGCAAGCGGGUAGUGGUGGCUGCUCACCACCUGGUGUUUGUUGGGGACACCCUGGGCCGGCUGGCAGCCUCUGCCCCUCUUCGAGCACAGGUCGGGGCUGCUGGCACAGCACUGGGCCAGGCACUGCGGGCCACUGUGCUGGCGGUCAAGGGGGCUGCGCUGGGCUACCCAUCCAGCCCUGCAGCCCAGGAGAUGGCGCAGUGUGUGGCACAGCUGGCAGGGCAGGCCCUGCAAUUCACCACCCUGCUCACCAGCCUGGCCCCCUGAGAGUCCCUUGGCACUGCUCUGCCCCUCCCCUUGCUGCUGGAGCCCCUUCCGGCUCCAGGGGUGGCUGGAGGGCUCUGUGGUAGGGAAUAGGAGAGGUGCAGGUAUCCUCUCCUCCAGUCAUCUCAGUGUCCUACAGAGGCAUCUCCUCUCCCAACCCCACAGCUUUUUGUACGAGCCAUUUUGUAUAAAUUAUUUAUAUUUAAUAUUAUUCCCUGCCUUGUCAGGGGCAGGUGCCAGGCCCUCUGGGGCAGGAAGGAACUGGACUCUCCUCCCUCAACCUGGGCUGGAGGUUCUUGGUUGCUGCACUGCCAGCCACCUCUGGAAGCUUGGCCCCAGAGAAUUAGGUGGCUGAAACAAGGGGCCACCCAGAGCCCCUUUCUUGUGCUUUUCUUGGCUCUAGAAUAUCAGCACCUCACUGGUGGCCAAGAGUGAGGACAGGAUAUUGGCCAUCCAGAAUGUGAAGGUCUGGAAGAGGCUAGAGGGCUCCUCUCCGCAGGAGGCAGGAGAGAGGCUUCCUGCUGACCGUCUGGACACACCGUCUUUUAGAGGAGCUGAGGGGCAGAUGAAGGCCAUGUGUCGGAAGUCUACAGUCCUCAGGGCCUAGGUGGGAGAUCACUCCAGCUAUUUACCACAAGGGAAGAAGUCCAAGCCACAGAUCCAUUUCUUCAGGUCUGCUUCUCCAAGAUGAUGCUCUGGCACAGUGACUGACUGGAAGCACCCCAGACUUCAGUCAGAGUCUUAGUCUCUUGGUGCCCACUAUGCAUAUGCCUCCUCUAUUUGGGGUUCCUUCAUUAUCCUUUCACUAAGAGAAAACUCAUUUCCAGAUUCUGGGGCCACCAAAAUUCACCCCUACAUGCUGAAGACUUAAAAUGGACCAUUCUCCAUCAUCCUCCAGGAAGAAUUUCAAGAGAUCAACCUGUAAUUAGAGUCAGAGGUCUCAGUGCAAGUCCCAGAUCUGCCAUAUACCUGUCUGUGGGUAAAUCCUGCCAGUCCGUCUGAGUCCUGGUGUCAUCUGUAUUGUGAGGACGAUCAUAAUGGUCAUGUUGUGAGGCCCCAACAAGACAGUCAUGUGAACAAUCCAGCACCACAUCAAGUUAAGGGAUUUUAAUUCCAGGACAGACACAAGGACACAGACAAAAAUCCCCGAGAAAUACUGGCUGUGGCAGUACCAAAGUAAAUCCUGAAGAAAUGCUGAAAUAGGUAGGGGAGGCUGUUAAAUGGACUGGAGAGUUUCCCAUGUUUGGAAAAUUUCUGAACAGGGAAUGGAUUUCCGGUCUAAGGCUCAGGAUACUCCUUUCUAUCCCUUACCUGAAAUUAGAGAAUAAAGUACCUGUUAGGCAUCAACUCUAAA